RNAcentral lists this ribosomal RNA (770 nucleotides) under Streptomyces sp. Its description in RNAcentral is "bacterial SSU rRNA". It matches the Rfam family "Bacterial small subunit ribosomal RNA", at positions 56 to 841 of the family's 1533-position model. The record is from RNAcentral. Lineage: Bacteria; Bacillati; Actinomycetota; Actinomycetes; Kitasatosporales; Streptomycetaceae.
UGCAGUCGACGAUGAACCUCCUUCGGGAGGGGAUUAGUGGCGAACGGGUGAGUAACACGUGGGCAAUCUGCCCUGCACUCUGGGACAAGCCCUGGAAACGGGGUCUAAUACCGGAUACGACUCGGGAGGGCAUCCUUCCGGGUGGAAAGCUCCGGCGGUGCAGGAUGAGCCCGCGGCCUAUCAGCUUGUUGGUGGGGUGAUGGCCUACCAAGGCGACGACGGGUAGCCGGCCUGAGAGGGCGACCGGCCACACUGGGACUGAGACACGGCCCAGACUCCUACGGGAGGCAGCAGUGGGGAAUAUUGCACAAUGGGCGAAAGCCUGAUGCAGCGACGCCGCGUGAGGGAUGACGGCCUUCGGGUUGUAAACCUCUUUCAGCAGGGAAGAAGCGCAAGUGACGGUACCUGCAGAAGAAGCGCCGGCUAACUACGUGCCAGCAGCCGCGGUAAUACGUAGGGCGCAAGCGUUGUCCGGAAUUAUUGGGCGUAAAGAGCUCGUAGGCGGCUUGUCGCGUCGGAUGUGAAAGCUCGGGGCUUAACCCCGGGUCUGCAUUCGAUACGGGCAGGCUAGAGUGUGGUAGGGGAGAUCGGAAUUCCUGGUGUAGCGGUGAAAUGCGCAGAUAUCAGGAGGAACACCGGUGGCGAAGGCGGAUCUCUGGGCCAUUACUGACGCUGAGGAGCGAAAGCGUGGGGAGCGAACAGGAUUAGAUACCCUGGUAGUCCACGCCGUAAACGUUGGGAACUAGGUGUUGGCGACAUUCCACGUCGUC